GAUGAACGCUGGCGGCGUGCUUAACACAUGCAAGUCGAACGAAGCACAUUUGAUUGAUUUCUUCGGGAAGAAAGAGAUUGUGACUGAGUGGCGGACGGGUGAGUAACGCGUGGGUAACCUGCCUCAUACAGGGGGAUAACAGUUAGAAAUGACUGCUAAUACCGCAUAAGCACACAGCUUCGCAUGAAGCAGUGUGAAAAACUCCGGUGGUAUGAGAUGGACCCGCGUCUGAUUAGGUAGUUGGUGGGGUAACGGCCUACCAAGCCGACGAUCAGUAGCCGACCUGAGAGGGUGACCGGCCACAUUGGGACUGAGACACGGCCCAA
Molecule: ribosomal RNA, 326 nt
Filed under: uncultured bacterium
Lineage: Bacteria
Description: bacterial SSU rRNA
Rfam family: Bacterial small subunit ribosomal RNA
Source: RNAcentral